AACUGGGUUAAAAUGUGUUUGGGGUUGGUCCUGCUUUGAGCAGGCAGUUGGACUAGAUGACCUCCUGAGAUCUCUUCCAACUUUAAUCUUCUAUGAUAGUAUG
Molecule: long non-coding RNA, 103 nt
Organism: Gopherus evgoodei (Goodes thornscrub tortoise)
Lineage: Eukaryota; Metazoa; Chordata; Testudines; Testudinidae
Exons: 3
Source: RefSeq, a predicted model, not a curated record